Molecule: ribosomal RNA, 246 nt
Filed under: uncultured Lactobacillus sp.
Lineage: Bacteria; Bacillati; Bacillota; Bacilli; Lactobacillales; Lactobacillaceae
Description: partial 16S ribosomal RNA
Rfam family: Bacterial small subunit ribosomal RNA
Source: RNAcentral
CGUGGGUAACCUGCCCAAGAGAUCGGGAUAACACCUGGAAACAGAUGCUAAUACCGGAUAAUAACAGAUGAUGCCUAUCAACUGUUUAAAAGAUGGUUCUGCUAUCACUCUUGGAUGGACCUGCGGUGCAUUAGCUAGUUGGUAGGGUAACGGCCUACCAAGGCGAUGGUGCAUAGCCGAGUUGAGAGACUGAUCGGCCACAUUGGGACUGAGACACGGCCCAAACUCCUACGGGAGGCAGCAGGC